Molecule: ribosomal RNA, 153 nt
Filed under: Triticum aestivum (bread wheat)
Lineage: Eukaryota; Viridiplantae; Streptophyta; Magnoliopsida; Poales; Poaceae
Description: partial small subunit ribosomal RNA
Source: RNAcentral
CACCAUUUGGUGGGGUUGGGGUCACACCCGAAGUCGUAUUGGAGAAUUGAGCGGAACUACUUCCAUGUGCACUCUUUUAUCGGGUCAGGAAGCCCUGUUUUUGAAGCAGGAAGACCUCUUCGUCAUCACACCACACACGCAAUCGGCCACUAA